UUGAUAUGAUGUUGGGUUCUGUGAUGUUUGAAACAAAUGUCUGACCUGAAUUAAUAAAGUUGAAAAAUGUGUUCCUGAGCAA
RNAcentral lists this small nucleolar RNA (82 nucleotides) under Gouania willdenowi (blunt-snouted clingfish). The record is from RNAcentral. Lineage: Eukaryota; Metazoa; Chordata; Actinopteri; Blenniiformes; Gobiesocidae.